This 207-nucleotide ribosomal RNA is filed under the name uncultured bacterium. RNAcentral's name for it is "partial 16S ribosomal RNA". It matches the Rfam family "Bacterial small subunit ribosomal RNA", at positions 524 to 729 of the family's 1533-position model. The record is from RNAcentral.
UACGUAGGGGGGCAAGCGUUGUCCGGAAUCAUUGGGCGUAAAGCGCGCGUAGGCGGCCCUGUAAGUCCGUUGUGAAAGUCGAAGGCUCAACCUUCGAAAGCCGAUGGAUACUGCAGGGCUAGAGUCCGGAAGAGGCGAGUGGAAUUCCUGGUGUAGCGGUGGAAUGCGUAGAUAUCAGGAGGAACACCAUAGUCGAAGGCAGCUCGC